UACGUAGGGUGCAAGCGUUGUCCGGAUUCACUGGGUUUAAAGGGUGCGUAGGUGGGCAGUUAAGUCAGUGGUGAAAUCUCCGGGCUCAACCCGGAAACUGCCAUUGAUACUAUCUGUCUUGAAUAUCGUGGAGGUAAGCGGAAUAUGUCAUGUAGCGGUGAAAUGCUUAGAUAUGACAUAGAACACCAAUUGCGAAGGCAGCUUACUACCCGAAUAUUGACACUGAGGCACGAAAGCGUGGGGAUCAAACAGG
This 253-nucleotide ribosomal RNA is filed under the name uncultured bacterium. Its description in RNAcentral is "partial 16S ribosomal RNA". It matches the Rfam family "Bacterial small subunit ribosomal RNA", at positions 524 to 776 of the family's 1533-position model. The record is from RNAcentral.